Molecule: small nuclear RNA, 109 nt
Filed under: Erinaceus europaeus (western European hedgehog)
Lineage: Eukaryota; Metazoa; Chordata; Mammalia; Eulipotyphla; Erinaceidae
Source: RNAcentral
AUCCUUCCUUCAGUAGCACAUAUGAAAAAAACUAGAAUGAUACAGAAACGAUUAACAUGGCCACUGUGUAAAGGAUGAUAUGCAAAUCUGUGAAGCAAUUCAUAUUUUA